This is a long non-coding RNA of Nematostella vectensis (starlet sea anemone), 1802 nucleotides long. RefSeq lists it as uncharacterized. The record is from RefSeq and is a predicted model, not a curated record. NCBI's taxonomy places the organism in Eukaryota, Metazoa, Cnidaria, Anthozoa, Actiniaria, Edwardsiidae. The transcript is spliced from 2 exons.
AGUGAGAUCAAGUGGGGACUCUUUUUGUUAUAGACUUACUCCGAUGUAUGUCGUUACGUAAUCACAUCAUAGGAGAAAAAAAACACUGAACACUGCCGCCUCGUUGUCAGUAAUACCUUUGUUAUUGUUUUCAUUUGAUAAUGGAAGGCACAAAAUAUGUCACAAUCUCGAAAUAUCCAUCUAAAAACAAAGUUUUAUACUUAAUUUACCAAAUUUUAUGGAAAAUAUCGUAUUGGCUUUCCGAAAUCAGCCGAUGGAAAUGGAUGCUUUUUCACACUUGAUACUUUGCUAGGAUGACAAAAUGGCGGCUGCCAGAGGCUGUUCAACAGAAUGAAGACAUCCAGCUAAUACGUACUAACUCUAAACAUUUUGACCUGUUACAAAAACAAGUGUAAACAAGUUUAAACACUCGCCUUCAUCCACACUGAGUGUCGGUUACGCAAUGCCUCGCUUGUUCGUCAAAUUAAAACGAAGGAUAUUGAACAAAUAUCAUUGUAGGAUGUGGGAUUAUAUUUUGUAUUCAAUCAAACUUAUAAUGCAAGAAAAGGAAACAAGACAAUCUUUCUUAGUAUAUAACGCAGGGGAGACCGCCUUCCAGACCUAAGAUAAUGGUUUUUAUGGCAGCUGGUUCCAUUAACAACAACAAUCAGUAAGAUAAUUGAUAAACACAAUCGCCUUGAGCGACAUAACACGCACUGCUCUUAAAAACCCCCGCUAGUAUAGUUACAGAAAGCGCACCACAGGACUGGAAAGAUGGAGUUUAAUUCCAAACAGAUUCAUAUUCCCUAGAAAAUGAGGCGAUUGUAGGACAAGGUUCUCCCAAAGGAUCAUCUAACGUUCUCACCAGCAUCGGAACGACUGUGCUUGCGGUGAAACAACUGUUUAAUAGAUCCAGGGCUUGUGUUCCUCUGAGGUGAGGACUCUACUAUUUCACUACAAAACAAGAGAAAUGUACUGAUAUUUUAAAAGCCUCUUUAUCCCCCUCUUCCUUAGAGUUGUUAAAUACGAAAGCAAGUAUUAAAUAAAACACCUCGAGUUACGAAAAUUUUGCAAUAUCUCUGCCUUUCGCCCUUACUUAAAAAAAGGCUAAUAUUAUCCAAAAUUCUAAAUAGUGCACAAACUAAUUUUCCAUAUAUAGAAAUGAGGAAUAUUCAAUGGAAUGACGUCACUUACGAGUCAGCUCCAGAGGCCGCGUCACUAUCGCCUAACAAGGCUUUUAGAUCGACGAUGUUCAUCUGUGCCGUGACUUGUCCAGUACGAUCUCCAACCUACAACGAUAGAGGCAUAUUACAGGAGGCCAAUCACGCCGCCAUUUAUGCUCCCGCUUAAUAGCGAGUCACACAAAAGCAUCCAUUUGCAUCGGCUUAUUCAAGCGAGUAACCAAGAUAUUUUCAAUCACAUAUCGUCAAUAACAUAUCAAACUUCAUUCGUAGAGUUUUAUUUUGAAGUUUCCUUGCGAAUAAACCGUUGUAUUUGCAAUAAGCUAUAACAAAAGGAGUUGGGGAUAUUCUUUAACGAGGCCGUAUGACACAAGACCCGUACAAACAGUAUUGAUGAUCACGUCGCCUCGCUAUGCUGGUCAAAAGGCAAAUGAUAUUUGGGCGAGCUCACUUCACAGGGAAUUUAAGCAACUUUGACGGUGACCGGAAGGGAGAAAGUGAACCUCCAAAAAGCUUUCAUGCUCUGCGCUCAAUUCUGGUAUACCGUGUCGGUGUUUUACAAAUUCGAGUAAGAGGUGUGAAAUGGGGUUUGUUCAUUGAAUGAGAUUAAACUUGCAAAAUUUGGUAACUUGGAAAAAGACU